CCCCCGUGAGCCUCUACCGGUGAGGAAGGUCCCGGAGCAGCAGUGGAUGAAGAGCGCCCGACUUCUGAUGAAGAAGAGGAGCCAGGUGGGCAGCAGAUGGCGCAAGAGAGGAGCCGAGGCUGCAGGUAUGUCAGCAGAGGGGAGGAAAGAAGAGGAGAGGAGGAGGGAGGCCAAAUUAAGAGUGACAUGUCACAAACAACAUGAGAGGAGAGGGUAGGAGAGGAGGUGGAGGGGCAAAACUAGGCAUGACUUCUCAUGUAAAGAAGAGACCUGAGAGGAAAUGAGGAGAGGAAGGGAGGAGGCAAUAAUUAAGUUUGACCUCUCACAAAAAAAGGUAUGCAUCAUUUAAUGUUAUCACCACGUUUCGUUAAAUUGAGUUCAUUUGUGAACGGGGUGGCGCAGUGGUCUGUGCAUCUGAUCAUCAGAUCAAGGGGAGUGCUGGGGAACUCCAGUUCGAAACCCGCUCCUGCCGCCACUGCGUCAGGCCGUUGUGUCCUUGGGCAAGACACUUCACCCGGAUUUGCUCCUGUGGGUAAUGUCCACAGUACAUGUAUGAUAUCAAUGUGUACUUGUAAAAGCGCCUCGAUGACUUCGAGGCGUGAAGAUGGACGGUGUGGCGCAGUGCGCUGUGCAAUGAUCAUCAGAUCAAGGGGUGAAACCUGCCGCUGCUACGUCUGUAAAGCCAUUGUGUCCUUGGGCAAGACACUUCACCUGAACUUGGUCCUGUGGGUAUUGUCCACAGUUGUCCCAUUGCAUGUAUGAUUAUGUGUAAUGUGUAUUUGUAAA
This is a long non-coding RNA of Gymnodraco acuticeps, 786 nucleotides long. RefSeq lists it as uncharacterized. The transcript is spliced from 4 exons. NCBI's taxonomy places the organism in Eukaryota, Metazoa, Chordata, Actinopteri, Perciformes, Bathydraconidae. The record is from RefSeq and is a predicted model, not a curated record.